UACGUAGGGCGCAAGCGUUGUCCGGAAUUAUUGGGCGUAAAGAGCUCGUAGGCUGCCAGUUGCGUCUGCUGUGAAAUCCCGGGGCUCAACCCCGGGCGUGCAGUGGAUACGGGCUGGCUAGAGGCAGGCAGGGGAGAACGGAAUUCCCGGUGUAGCGGUGAAAUGCGCAGAUAUCGGGAGGAACACCGGUGGCGAAGGCGGUUCUCUGGGCCUGUACUGACGCUGAGGAGCGAAAGCGUGGGGAGCGAACAGG
Molecule: ribosomal RNA, 253 nt
Filed under: uncultured bacterium
Lineage: Bacteria
Description: partial 16S ribosomal RNA
Rfam family: Bacterial small subunit ribosomal RNA
Source: RNAcentral